This 414-nucleotide ribosomal RNA is filed under the name uncultured microorganism. Its description in RNAcentral is "bacterial SSU rRNA". It matches the Rfam family "Archaeal small subunit ribosomal RNA", at positions 459 to 872 of the family's 1478-position model. The record is from RNAcentral.
CAGCCGCCGCGGUAAUACCGGCGGCCCGAGUGGCGGUCACUAUUAUUGGGCUUAAAGCGUCCGUAGCCGGGUUGGGAAGUCCUCCGGGAAAUCUGGCCGCUUAACGGUCAGAAUGCCGGAGGAUACUCCCAGCCUAGGGAGCGGGAGAGGCCGAGGGGAUUCCCGGAGUAGGGGGGAAAUCCUAUAAUCCCGGGAGGACCACCUGUGGCGAAGGCGCUCGGCUGGAACGCGGCCGACGGUGAGGGACGAAGGCCAGGGGAGCAAACCGGAUUAGAUACCCGGGUAGUCCUGGCUGUAAACGAUGCGGACUUUGUGUCGGACAAGCUAUGAGCUUGUCCGGUGCCGGAGGGAAACCGUUAAGUCCGCCGCCUGGGGAGUACGGCCGCAAGGCUGAAACUUAAAGGAAUUGGCGGG